This 465-nucleotide ribosomal RNA is filed under the name uncultured bacterium. RNAcentral's name for it is "partial 16S ribosomal RNA". It matches the Rfam family "Bacterial small subunit ribosomal RNA", at positions 338 to 795 of the family's 1533-position model. The record is from RNAcentral.
CCUACGGGAGGCAGCAGUGGGGAAUAUUGCGCAAUGGGCGAAAGCCUGACGCAGCGACGCCGCGUGAGGGAUGAAGGUCUUCGGAUCGUAAACCUCUGUCAGCAGGGAAGAACGGUCACUGUGCUAAUCAGCAGUGAAUUGACGGUACCUGCAAAGGAAGCACCGGCUAACUCCGUGCCAGCAGCCGCGGUAAUACGGAGGGUGCGAGCGUUAAUCGGAAUUACUGGGCGUAAAGCGCUCGUAGGCGGUAUGUCAAGUCAAGGGUGAAAUCCCCGCGCUCACCGUGGGAACUGCCUUUGAAACUGGCAAACUGGAGUGUGUGAGAGGAUAGUGGAAUUCCAGGUGUAGGAGUGAAAGCCGUAGAUAUCUGGAGAAACAUCAGUGGCGAAGGCGACUAUCUGGCACAUAACUGACGCUGAGGAGCGAAAGCGUGGGUAGCAAACAGGAUUAGAUACCCCUGUAGUC